Molecule: long non-coding RNA, 673 nt
Organism: Mauremys mutica (yellowpond turtle)
Lineage: Eukaryota; Metazoa; Chordata; Testudines; Geoemydidae
Exons: 3
Source: RefSeq, a predicted model, not a curated record
GCCCCGCUGCGCCCCCGCCCGGGUCCCAUCAACGGAGCGGCCGCCGCCCGGGCCGGCCACACAAAAUGGCGGCGGCUCUUUGUUCGGCGCCGGCGGGGCCUGACGCCUCCAUCCGCCCCACCGCGGUGCCCGGCCCGGGUCAGCCCGGCCCUGACCCCCAGAUGAGGCGCUCACCGAAUCCCGGGGUGGGCGCGAGAAGGGAGCACGCGCUACGCUGCAGCCGACUCGAUCCCAAACAGGCUCCGCUCUGCUUCUCCUCACUGGACAAAAUGGCGGCCCCCGCCUUCCCUGCCCGGACUUAUAUAGCCCCACCCUGCCAUCACGUGCCCAGCCGGCUGUCAAAUCACAGAGCGCCUCUCAAAGGAGUGACAGUUCCAUGGAACCCGCCUUCGCCUGCUUCCUGAAUAGGGCCCGGGCCAGCCCUUCCCCCUCCCAACGUCCUGCAGGGCCAGCGCCAGACCCCAGACCUGGGGCCCAUUGGGGACCCAGGGCGGAGGCUGUGGUUAAUGUGCAAAGUCAUGAGGGAGGUAUAAAAGAAGCUGGAAGACACACAGUGUCAUUGCAACUGGAACUUCACUUCAGGACUUGCCGUGAGACGGAGCUGUGCUGAUCUGGAUUUGACCGUGUACUGUACUCUUUAGGAUCAACACAGAUACAAAGAAGUCAGAAGAUG